This 497-nucleotide ribosomal RNA is filed under the name uncultured bacterium. RNAcentral describes it as "partial 16S ribosomal RNA". It matches the Rfam family "Bacterial small subunit ribosomal RNA", at positions 28 to 507 of the family's 1533-position model. The record is from RNAcentral.
GAUGAACGCUGGCGGCGUGCCUAAUACAUGCAAGUCGAGCGAACGGACGAGAAGCUUGCUUCUCUGAUGUUAGCGGCGGACGGGUGAGUAACAUGUGGUUAACCUACCUAUAGGACUGGGAUAACUUCGGGAAACCGGAGCUAAUACCGGAUAAUAUUUUGAACCGCAUGGUUCAAAGGUGAAAGACGGUCUUGCUGUCACUUAUAGAUGUAUCCGCGCUGCAUUAGCUAGUUGGUAAGGUAACGGCUUACCAAGGCAACGAUGCAUAGCCGACCUGAGAGGGUGAUCGGCCACACUGGAACUGAGACACGGUCCAGACUCCUACGGGCGGCAGCAGUAGGGAAGCUUCCGCGAUGGGCGGAAGCCUGACGGAGCAACGCCGCGUGAGUGAUGAAGGUCUUCGGAUCGUAAAACUCUGUUAUUAGGGAAGAACAUAUGUGUAAGUAACUGUGCACAUCUUGACGGUACCUAAUCAGAAAGCCACGGCUAACUACGUG